Molecule: small nucleolar RNA, 107 nt
Filed under: Gossypium arboreum
Lineage: Eukaryota; Viridiplantae; Streptophyta; Magnoliopsida; Malvales; Malvaceae
Description: Plant small nucleolar RNA R71
Rfam family: Plant small nucleolar RNA R71
About the family: R71 is a member of the C/D box family of snoRNAs containing the C (UGAUGA) and D (CUGA) box motifs. Multiple nearly identical copies of this snoRNA have been identified in Arabidopsis, and it is thought to function as a 2'-O-ribose methylation guide for 18S ribosomal RNA.
Source: Rfam by way of RNAcentral
AAGCCAUUGUGAGGGCACCUUCUCAAAAGGUCCUUGUAUCUUUCCCAUGCAUCGUAGAGUGUUUUUAAAUCCAUCUGCAUGAAAUAAGAGAUAUCAUUACGUAAUUU